AAUUAUUGAGCAAGGAUAAAUCAUCUAAAGGUACUAAACUCACUGGUAAUUGUGACUACACAGAAAAACACAGAAUAUUAUAACGCUGUAAUUGUGGUGUAUAAACUAUACUUAGGUAGAAAGACUGAACAAUGAACCAACAAAAAGAACUACAGCAGUAUUUUAAUAUAGACAGUACAAUAAGAUGUAAAUAGAAACAACAAAAUGUUAAAAGGUGGGACAAUGAAGUUAAGGCAUACAGACUUUAUUAGUUGCUUUUUUUUUUUGCUUGCUUGUUUGUUUAUGCAAAUGGUGUUAAGUUGUUAGCUUAAAAUAAUUGCUUAUAAGAUAGUAUUUGUAAGCCUCUUGGUAACCUUAAGCCAAAAAACAUACAAUGGAGACACAAAAAAUAAAAAACAGGAAACUAAACCAU
This is a long non-coding RNA of Sapajus apella (tufted capuchin), 412 nucleotides long. RefSeq lists it as uncharacterized. The record is from RefSeq and is a predicted model, not a curated record. The transcript is spliced from 3 exons. Lineage: Eukaryota; Metazoa; Chordata; Mammalia; Primates; Cebidae.